This is a long non-coding RNA of Oryzias javanicus (javanese ricefish), 571 nucleotides long. The record is from Ensembl. NCBI's taxonomy places the organism in Eukaryota, Metazoa, Chordata, Actinopteri, Beloniformes, Adrianichthyidae.
GACGACAUCGGCGGCGCAGAAACAGGAAAUAAAGCAGCCGCCUCAUCGUUUUAGUUAUAAAAGUUCCAGUUUGUUUGUUAGUAUUUAAACGACGGUUGUGUUUGUGCGAACGCGCGCUGCCGUGUGUCUGCCGGCGCCGGAUUGCUUUGGGGAAGCUUUUAGGCUGGGGUCAGACAUGAGAGCAAGGCAAUUUGAGGGUGGAAAUGAGCGAUGUCUUUUUUCAUUUGAGAGCGAGAGGCCUCAGCCUAUCACACGCCGUCUCCUCCGACAUGGAGGCACGACCGUCGAGUCGCAGCUUCUGCCGCCGCGUCCGUCCCACGACAUGGAGGGGAAGGAAGGAGCGCUCAGUGACACACACAGCAGAUGGCAGAACCUCUGCAGGAGCAGCUCAGACAAGAGACCAAACUUUUCUGCACACAAGCAGUGGGAGUUUUGCAGUCCAGUUUUUUCACAAACAACAAAAGGAGAGGAUCAUCCACCUGCAGCGGUUACAUCUGUGACAGACGAGAGGCAAGAGGACGGCAAAAGACGGCAUUAUUUCGGCUCCCCUCUGACGGUCCUCUAAUUUAAU